Molecule: ribosomal RNA, 445 nt
Filed under: Clostridioides difficile
Lineage: Bacteria; Bacillati; Bacillota; Clostridia; Peptostreptococcales; Peptostreptococcaceae
Description: bacterial LSU rRNA
Rfam family: Bacterial large subunit ribosomal RNA
Source: RNAcentral
AGGUGGGCAGUUUGCCUGGGGCGGUCGCCUCCCAAACGGUAACGGAGGCGCUCAAAGGUUCGCUCAGUACGGUCGGAAAUCGUACGUAGAGUGUAAAGGCACAAGAGAGCUUGAUUGCAAGACAUACAGGUCGAGCAAGGAUGAAAAUCGUACUUGGUGAUCCGGUGGUUCUGCGUGGAAGGGCAAUCGCUCAACGGAUAAAAGCUACCCUGGGGAUAACAGGCUUAUCUCCCCCACGACGCCACAUCGCCGGGGAGGUUUGUCACCUCGAUGUCGGCUCAUCACAUACUGGCGCUGUAGUAGGUACCACGGGUUGGGCUGUCAGCCCAUUACAGUGGUACCCGAGAUGGGUUCCGAACGUCUUUCGCCAGUUCGGUCCCUAUCCGUCGCCGGCGUAGGAAAUUUGAGCAGACCUGUCCUUAGUACGAGCGGACCGGGCUGGACG